Molecule: transfer RNA, 84 nt
Filed under: Felis catus (domestic cat)
Lineage: Eukaryota; Metazoa; Chordata; Mammalia; Carnivora; Felidae
Rfam family: tRNA
About the family: Transfer RNA (tRNA) molecules are approximately 80 nucleotides in length. Their secondary structure includes four short double-helical elements and three loops (D, anti-codon, and T loops). Further hydrogen bonds mediate the characteristic L-shaped molecular structure. tRNAs have two regions of fundamental functional importance: the anti-codon, which is responsible for specific mRNA codon recognition, and the 3' end, to which the tRNAs corresponding amino acid is attached (by aminoacyl-tRNA synthetases). tRNAs cope with the degeneracy of the genetic code in two manners: having more than one tRNA (with a specific anti-codon) for a particular amino acid; and 'wobble' base-pairing, i.e. permitting non-standard base-pairing at the 3rd anti-codon position.
Source: Rfam by way of RNAcentral
GCCUGGGUGGCUCAGUGGUUAAGCGUCUGACUUAGGCUCAGGUCAUUAUCUUACGGUUCGUGGGUUUGAGCCCCGCAUUGGGCC